AGGAAAGGUGACAUGAUCUUUUAGAUCGGUGAUGGAACAAAGGUUGUUGCAGAAACCAUUUGCAUUUACCCUCUUCAAUUACCAUCUGGUGUUAGAUUAGAUUUGAAAGACUGUUAUUAUGUUCCUAUAGCUAGUCGGAAUUGGUUUUCGUGUCUGUGCUAGCACAAGAAGGUUUUGAAAUUAGUUUCAAUAAAGACUUUUGUUUUAUUUAUUUACAAAAUAA
RNAcentral lists this long non-coding RNA (223 nucleotides) under Elaeis guineensis (African oil palm). RNAcentral describes it as "long non-coding RNA (EGUI_LNC042384)". Lineage: Eukaryota; Viridiplantae; Streptophyta; Magnoliopsida; Arecales; Arecaceae. The record is from RNAcentral.